CGUGCAGGCGGUCUGUUAAGUGCAGGGUGAAAGCUCCCGGCUCAACUGGGAGAGGUCCUUGCAUACUGGCGGACUUGAGGGGGGUAGAGGAAAGUGGAAUUCCCGGUGUAGUGGUGAUAUGCGUAGAUAUCGGGAGGAACACCUGUGGCGAAGGCGGCUUUCUGGGCCCUACCUGACGCUGAGACGCGAAAGCGUGGGGAGCGAACCGGAUUAGAUACCCGGGUAGUCCACGCCGUAAACUAUGGACACUAGGUGUGGGGGGUAUCGACCCCCUCCGUGCCGCAGCUAACGCAAUAAGUGUCCCGCCUGGGGAGUACGGCCGCAAGGCUAAA
This 332-nucleotide ribosomal RNA is filed under the name uncultured Chloroflexota bacterium. Its description in RNAcentral is "bacterial SSU rRNA". It matches the Rfam family "Bacterial small subunit ribosomal RNA", at positions 568 to 898 of the family's 1533-position model. The record is from RNAcentral. Lineage: Bacteria; Bacillati; Chloroflexota.